CAGAGCCUACCUGGCUCAUAUGGACACCUGGGGACACAGGUGCCUCUCAUGGCAAGUUCAGGCUCCUUCCGGGCCACCCUAUGGCCUCUGUGCCCAGAAACACAGCUGCGCAAUAGACCCUCCAGCCGUCGGCGGGGCCUCUGGUGCUGGGCUGUGGAGUCCAGCCUCUCUCCUGAGGGCAGGAACUCCCAGAGGGCUGCAGCGUCCGCUUGGCAGUCUGAGUCCACUUGUCGGGACAGCGAGGGACGGUCAGCGCCCCUCCAGUUCAGCUGUGAACCAAAUGACCAGGGCGACCUGGACAGGAGCCCUGCCCACGCUGCUCACCCCGUCUAAACUAACCUAGGGUGCAACCUCCCUCACGAAGGCUUUCCUUCCCACCACCAAGAUGCAAGAUGCCACGCCUGGACCAGCUCAAAAUACCCAGUGAGGAGGCUGGCUGGAGAGUCUUCCCUGAGGGCUGGUGUCACCUCACAGCUGGACCUGGGGGGCAAAGAGGGACACAGGGGUGAGAACCAGAACCCUGAGGACCAGCCCUGCCCCGCCCUUCCCUGACCCCCGGAUCCCAUCAUCUCUAAGUGUGCUGGUCAGACCCCUGCAGAGUCUCUGAGUAUUCCGGAGAACCCCCGGAGCUCGCGGAGCGAGGCUGCUGGCUGGCAUGCAGAGACCCGCUCUCCAUAAAUCUCCGUGGGCUCUGACGGUGGGCUUUUCUGUCCCUCGGCCCUCAUAUGGCCCAUUUUGCAGACGGGCACACUGAGGAGAGAACGGGCCUGCCUGGGUCCCAGCGGGGGGGCAGCAUCGCAGCCCUGGGGUGGCCCGGAGGGCCGGUGCCAGGCGGCGAGAACGUCAGGACCUGGAAGGAAACAUCGAUACCCCCUAGGCACCCACGGCCAAUUAGCUGAGGAGGAGGAGGCUGUUGCAACGGCUCAGAUUUUGAAAUUUGACCGUGACAACCACCCUGGCGAACUUGAUUCACCCACAGGUUGGGAGCCUCAUCUUCAGAGCCUGCCUCCCUCCCCGCAGGGGGAAAUGGGACCCGCUCCCUCACCACCUGUGCCUCCCCACUCUGUGAAAUUGGGUGUGUCCUCCCUUUGGGGGGUGUGACAGGUUGAAUCGUGUCCUAAAUGCUUGUGUCCAAGCCCUGAGCCCCAGGACCUCAGCGGGACCUCUUUUGGAGAUGGGGCCUUUCCAGAGGCCAUCCACUUAGAGUGGUUGCAGUGACCCUCAUCCAAUGUGACUGACAUGCUCAGGGCUCAGAGGGGCCCACUGCACCGGGAGACCGCCUGGAACAAUUCUCCCUCGACGCCUGGACCUCAGACCUCCGCCUGCAGAGCCAGGAGACUCUA
Molecule: long non-coding RNA, 1343 nt
Filed under: Sus scrofa (pig)
Lineage: Eukaryota; Metazoa; Chordata; Mammalia; Artiodactyla; Suidae
Description: lncRNA (ENSSSCG00050042622.1)
Source: RNAcentral